UACGUAGGUGGCAAGCGUUGUCCGGAUUUAUUGGGCGUAAAGCGCUCGCAGGUGGUUCGUCGCGUCGUGCGUGAAAGACCCCGGCUCAACUGGGGAGGGUCGUGCGAUACGGGCGGACUGGAGGCCAGUAGGGGGAUGCGGAAUUCCGGGUGUAGUGGUGGAAUGCGUAGAGAUCCGGAGGAACACCAGCGGCGAAGGCGGCAUCCUGGACUGGUCCUGACACUCAGGAGCGAAAGCGUGGGGAGCGAUCCGG
RNAcentral lists this ribosomal RNA (253 nucleotides) under uncultured bacterium. Its description in RNAcentral is "partial 16S ribosomal RNA". It matches the Rfam family "Bacterial small subunit ribosomal RNA", at positions 524 to 776 of the family's 1533-position model. The record is from RNAcentral.